CGAUAAAAACUAUUUCUAACUACUAAAUAAAACUAACUUUUCAUUUAUUUGACUAUAACUAAUUUAAUUUAUUUUUAUAAUCCCGCUACUUUAACACCGUAUCCCGCGAUCACCGACACCAGAAUGGCCUUUUUUCGCCAUCGCUUCGCUCGUCUCGAUCGCUUCUCACUCUCUUCUCAUAAAAUGUUCUCGCUGAGUGUCAGCCGCCCGAACAUGCCGCCGAUGCCGCCUUCAGCUCCAUCUACACGUAGCCGGUUGUGUAGAGAACUUGUUGCGGCUAAGGUCGCUACACAUCAUUACACUUUUUUUUUUUAACGAAAGUGCUGCAAGAAAAUUUUUUAUAGUGCCGUUUUUUUCAUGCAAAUCGAUAUCGCCUUAUCAAUUGAUAUCUCUGGUUUUCGCAUCAUUUCCGCCUGAACGACCCUCGUGGUGCAGUCUCGCUAUUAAUCAUCUGAAGUUGCUCGUACUCGCAAUAUACGUAAAUAGUGUCGUUUGGGGUUUGAAUCUCCGUGAUAUUCAGGAAUGCAUAGCAUUGCCUUUUCCGUUGGGAAUUCGUAAGCCAUUUUUGAAAAUGACGCGUUCAACGCUCUAUCGAUUUCAAGGCUUUGAUUUAAUAAUUCUCCUUUGAGAACUUGGAGGCGUUUUUGGUAAUUAUAUUGUGUGUUUAGACAACUUUCACUAUUUGCCGUGGAGUUUAGUUGCGGUAAUGAUGGAUUAAUAUUAUUUACACUUUUUGAAUGAACCUGAACAGAUCUGUUCCUAAGUGCCAACACCCUUGGGUUCAUUACCCUCUACGUAAGCGUAAAGAAUGAAGGAUUAAUAAAAAUGAUACUUAAACUACUGUA
Long non-coding RNA from Anopheles coluzzii, 845 nucleotides. RefSeq lists it as uncharacterized. The record is from RefSeq and is a predicted model, not a curated record. The transcript has 2 exons. Lineage: Eukaryota; Metazoa; Arthropoda; Insecta; Diptera; Culicidae.